RNAcentral lists this non-coding RNA (20 nucleotides) under Rattus norvegicus (Norway rat). The record is from RNAcentral. Lineage: Eukaryota; Metazoa; Chordata; Mammalia; Rodentia; Muridae.
CUGAAUUAGAUGGAACUGCA